AACUUUAUUCUUCUAUUCCGACGAAGAGUAGCAAAAUAGUAUUUUGCAGCAAUUCCUUAUUCCAUGCUCAACAAGCAACCGUUCAUCCUUUUCAGUGUUCAUGAAAUGAUCCAUAAGAUGACUAGUUUUUGGCCGAUCCCACUUUAAACUUGACUCUGCCUGGUGUAACUCUGUGAUGCCAUCAUUUUCUUUUUACCCAUGUUAACUUUGUGUUAUUACAGAUAUGCCAUCAUUUUUACAAAGUAUAUAUACUGUAUUUUUUUAAAAUUUUUUUAUUCUUUGUUCUCCCUUCCCUCUUCCUUCUCGCUCUUAUCUCCGUCACUCGGUUAAUGACGACGGCGAGCUAUCCGUUCGAAAGCCGGCGAAUCGGACCUCACCGUUUCACCAAUCGUCUCCCUUUCAUCUUAGGAACAAGAAACACCAGUCGCAUAUCUCGAUUCGUUAGGGUUUCGACGAGGAUUUUCGAAAACUCCGACGUUUUUGUGACGAUUGCGGCGAAGAUCGGCGUCGAGGUUGGUCUCAAACUAUUCCUCAGAACGUCAGAGAGAAAGCGGGUGGGAUAUGAGCAGUAGGCGUUCUUACAAGAAUGAUGAAAAUUUGGCAGAAGACAGUAUAUGUUGAUGAGUUCGAGAAAAAGAAGAAGAUAGCAUCUCAUUUGAAAAGAGCAAUGAGUAAGAGUAAUUUUGGGAUAGCAUCUCAUUUGAAAAGAGCAAUGAGUAAGAGUAAUUUUGGGUCCAUCAAAAGUUCGAUCUCAUUGAUGCAAAGCUUGAAGAGCAUUAGAUGUGAGGAUCCAAGCAGUGUCCCGGUUGUGGACACAAAGCUCGAAGGAAAGCCGGUUAGAGCGGUCGAGGUUCAAAAGAUACUGGUAGAAUAGAACUCAGACCGGAAAACGAAGAAGAAAAAACGAAGUAGAAAGAAGAGUGAAGUACUUGGUGGCAAUAGAGAACAACGUCAAAAGUAACCAAGAUGCCUUUUCUAUGUAAUAUAUUCUACAAACAUCUUUUUUUUUUCCCUUAUUGAACAUAUGUAAUAGAUUUUGGUAUAUUUACUAUAUUUUGCACAUUUAAUCAGUUUUAAAACCCGCAGUAUUGCGCAGGCUAAAUUGCUAGUCAAGUCUAUAUGAAGGGGAAAAAUGUACAAACUUUUGAGAACCAAAAUUAAGUUUGGGAGAUA
Molecule: long non-coding RNA, 1173 nt
Organism: Malus domestica (apple)
Lineage: Eukaryota; Viridiplantae; Streptophyta; Magnoliopsida; Rosales; Rosaceae
Source: RefSeq, a predicted model, not a curated record